RNAcentral lists this ribosomal RNA (424 nucleotides) under uncultured bacterium. Its description in RNAcentral is "partial 16S ribosomal RNA". It matches the Rfam family "Bacterial small subunit ribosomal RNA", at positions 360 to 776 of the family's 1533-position model. The record is from RNAcentral.
AAUAUUGCACAAUGGAGGAAACUCUGAUGCAGCGACGCCGCGUGAGUGAAGAAGGUCUUAUGAUCGUAAAACACUGUUUUAAGGGAAGAACAAGUACAUUAGUAACUGCCUGUACCUUGACGGUCCCUUUUUAGAAAACCACGGCUAACUACGUGCUCGCAUCCGCGGUAAUACGUAGGUGGCAAGCGUUGUACGGAAUUAUUGGGCGUAAAGCGCGCGCAGGCGGUCCUUUAAGUCUGAUGUGAAAGCCCACGGCUCAACAGUGGAGGGUCAUUGGAAACUGGAGGACUUGAGUGCAGAAGAGGAAAGUGGAAUUCCAAGUGUAGCGGUGAAAUGCGUAGAGAUUUGGAGGAACACCAGUGGCGAAGGCGACUUUCUGGUCUGUAACUGACGCUGAGGCGCGAAAGCGUGGGGAGCAAACAGG